Molecule: ribosomal RNA, 408 nt
Filed under: uncultured bacterium
Lineage: Bacteria
Description: partial 16S ribosomal RNA
Rfam family: Bacterial small subunit ribosomal RNA
Source: RNAcentral
GACGAACGCUGGCGGCGUGCUUAACACAUGCAAGUCGAACGAAGUGGCGAACGGGUGAGUAACGCGUAAGCAACCUGCCCUUCAGAGGGGAAAAACAGUUGGAAACGACGGCUAAUACCGCAUACGGAAGGAGGAGAAUGCGUAUGAGUAGCUAGUGGGAGGGGUAACGGCCCACCAAGGCGAUGAUCAGGAGCCGGUCUGAGAGGAUGAACGGCCACAUUGGGACUGAGACACGGCCCAGACUCCUACGGGAGGCAGCAGUGGGGAAUCUUCCGCAAUGGACGAAAGUCUGACGGAGCAACGCCGCGUGAGUGAUGACGGCCUUCGGGUUGUAAAGCUCUGUUAAUCGGGACGCGGUACCGGAAUAGAAAGCCACGGCUAACUACGUGCCAGCAGCCGCGGUAAUUC